Molecule: ribosomal RNA, 456 nt
Filed under: uncultured bacterium
Lineage: Bacteria
Description: SSU rRNA
Rfam family: Bacterial small subunit ribosomal RNA
Source: RNAcentral
AGGACGAACGUUGGCGGCGUGCCUAACACAUGCAAGUCGAACGUGGCUUAAGUUUACUUAAGUCUAGUGGCGGACGGCAGAGUAAUGCACAGGAACGUACCUCGAGGUGAGGGAUAGCCCUUCGAAAGAAGGGGUAAUACCACAUGUGCUCGCAAGAGCAAAGCCGCAAGGCGCCAUGAGAACGGCCUGUGUCCUAUCAGGUAGUUGGUGAGGUAAAGGCUCACCAAGCCUAUGACGGGUAGCUGGUCUGAGAGGACGAUCAGCCACACUGGGACUGAGACACGGCCCAGACUCCUACGGGAGGCAGCAGUGGGGAAUCUUGCACAAUGGGCGAAAGCCUGAUGCAGCAACGCCGCGUGAGGGACGAAGGCUUUCUGAGUUGUAAACCUCUUUCAGCAGGGACGAUUGUGACGGUACCUGCAGAAGAAGCCCCGGCAACUACGUGCCAGCAGCCGC